RNAcentral lists this ribosomal RNA (429 nucleotides) under Chloroflexota bacterium. RNAcentral's name for it is "Chloroflexi bacterium partial 16S ribosomal RNA". It matches the Rfam family "Bacterial small subunit ribosomal RNA", at positions 355 to 776 of the family's 1533-position model. The record is from RNAcentral. Lineage: Bacteria; Bacillati; Chloroflexota.
UGGGGAAUAUUGCACAAUGGGCGCAAGCCUGAUGCAGCCAUGCCGCGUGUAUGAAGAAGGCCUUCGGGUUGUAAAGUACUUUCAGCGGGGAGGAAGGGAGUAAAGUUAAUACCUUUGCUCAUUGACGUUACCCGCAGAAGAAGCACCGGCUAACUCCGUGCCAGCAGCCGCGGUAAUACGGAGGGUGCAAGCGUUAAUCGGAAUUACUGGGCGUAAAGCGCACGCAGGCGGUUUGUUAAGUCAGAUGUGAAAUCCCCGGGCUCACCCUGGGAACUGCAUCUGAUACUGGCAAGCUUGAGUCUCGUAGAGGGGGGUAGAAUUCCAGGUGUAGCGGUGAAAUGCGUAGAGAUCUGGAGGAAUACCGGUGGCGAAGGCGGCCACCUGGACGAAGACUGACGCUCAGGUGCGAAAGCGUGGGGAGCAAACAGG